Molecule: ribosomal RNA, 492 nt
Filed under: uncultured bacterium
Lineage: Bacteria
Description: partial 16S ribosomal RNA
Rfam family: Bacterial small subunit ribosomal RNA
Source: RNAcentral
CGUGAACGCUGGCGGUAGGCCUAACACAUGCAAGUCGAACGGCAGCACAGUAAGAGCUUGCUCUUACGGGUGGCGAGUGGCGGACGGGUGAGGAAUACAUCGGAAUCUACUUUUUCGUGGGGGAUAACGUAGGGAAACUUACGCUAAUACCGCAUACGACCUACGGGUGAAAGCAGGGGAUCUUCGGACCUUGCGCGAUUGAAUGAGCCGAUGUCGGAUUAGCUAGUUGGCGGGGUAAAGGCCCACCAAGGCGACGAUCCGUAGCUGGUCUGAGAGGAUGAUCAGCCACACUGGAACUGAGACACGGUCCAGACUCCUACGGGAGGCAGCAGUGGGGAAUAUUGGACAAUGGGCGCAAGCCUGAUCCAGCCAUACCGCGUGGGUGAAGAAGGCCUUCGGGUUGUAAAGCCCUUUUGUUGGGAAAGAAAAGCAGCGGGUUAAUACCCCGCUGUUCUGACGGUACCCAAAGAAUAAGCACCGGCUAACUUCGUG